RNAcentral lists this ribosomal RNA (253 nucleotides) under uncultured bacterium. Its description in RNAcentral is "partial 16S ribosomal RNA". It matches the Rfam family "Bacterial small subunit ribosomal RNA", at positions 524 to 776 of the family's 1533-position model. The record is from RNAcentral.
UACGGAGGGGGCGAGCGUUAUUCGGAAUUAUUGGGCGUAAAGAGCGUGUAGGCGGCCAGACAGGUCCGUUGUGAAAACUCGAGGCUCAACCUCGAGACGCCGAUGGAAACCGUCUGGCUAGAGUCCGGAAGAGGAGAGUGGAAUUCCUGGUGUAGCGGUGAAAUGCGCAGAUAUCAGGAAGAACACCCGUGGCUAAGGCGGCUCUCUAGUACGGUACUGACGCUGAGACGCGAAAGCGUGGGGAGCAAACAGG